AUUGAACGCUGGCGGCAUGCCUUACACAUGCAAGUCGAACGGUAACAGGUCUUUCGGGAUGCUGACGAGUGGCGAACGGGUGAGUAAUACAUCGGAACGUGCCUAGUAGUGGGGGAUAACUACUCGAAAGAGUGGCUAAUACCGCAUGAGAUCUAUGGAUGAAAGCAGGGGACCUUUGGGCCUUGUGCUACUAGAGCGGCCGAUGGCAGAUUAGGUAGUUGGUGGGAUAAAAGCUUACCAAGCCUACGAUCUGUAGCUGGUCUAGAGGACGAUCAGCCACACUGGGACUGAGACACGGCCCAGACUCCUACGGGAGGCAGCAGUGGGGAAUUUUGGACAAUGGGCGCAAGCCUGAUCCAGCAAUGCCGCGUGCAGGAUGAAGGCCUUCGGGUUGUAAACUGCUUUUGUACGGAACGAAAAGUCUUGGGUUAAUACCCUGGGAUCAUGACGGUACCGUAAGAAUAAGCACCGGCUAACUACGUG
RNAcentral lists this ribosomal RNA (483 nucleotides) under uncultured bacterium. RNAcentral's name for it is "partial 16S ribosomal RNA". It matches the Rfam family "Bacterial small subunit ribosomal RNA", at positions 30 to 507 of the family's 1533-position model. The record is from RNAcentral.